RNAcentral lists this long non-coding RNA (445 nucleotides) under Mytilus galloprovincialis (Mediterranean mussel). Lineage: Eukaryota; Metazoa; Mollusca; Bivalvia; Mytilida; Mytilidae. The record is from RNAcentral.
GUGAAUAUAAACAGUAAUAACAAACAAUAACAUAUAUACAAAAUAAUGAGAUAAUAGAAUGACAUGGUUACAUAUUCAAUGGUAUACAUAAAGUACAUGAUUUAAGGGAUUUGCAGUGGAAGGCAAAUCUAAUUUAUAACAGACAGGACAAUUUUACAAAAUUUGGCAAGUUUGACAAUUAAAUUGUAGUCAUCAGAACAAAAAAGUUCACAAUACUUUAUAGCAUUUGGCUUUUUGUACACAUUAUAGGGCAAAAGCCUUUUUCUUUCAUUCGAAAAAAAAGUACAUUUAAAUAGAUAAUGAAAUUCAUCACCAAUUUCACAUAAAUUGCAUAAAUCGCAAAUGCGAUCAUCACGUUCAACACCCCAAAAACGACCUUGUUCUAUUGGCAAUUUAUGGUUCAUACAUCUAAAAUUACAAUAUGCCUUUCGAAGAUCAUAUGGUA